AACGAACGCUGGCGGCAUGCCUAACACAUGCAAGUCGAACGAGACCUUCGGGUCUAGUGGCGCACGGGUGCGUAACGCGUGGGAACCUUCCCUUUGGUUCGGAAUAACUCCCCGAAAGGGGUGCUAAUACCGGAUAAUGUCUUCGGACCAAAGAUUUAUCGCAUUUGGAUGGGCCCGCGUUGGAUUAGCUAGUUGGUAGGGUAAAAGCCUACCAAGGCGACGAUCCAUAGCUGGUCUGAGAGGAUGAUCAGCCACACUGGGACUGAGACACGGCCCAGACUCCUACGGGAGGCAGCAGUGGGGAAUAUUGGACAAUGGGCGAAAGCCUGAUCCAGCAAUGCCGCGUGAGUGAUGAAGGCCUUAGGGUUGUAAAGCUCUUUUACCCGGGAUGAUAAUGACAGUACCGGGAGAAUAAGCUCCGGCUAACUCCGUG
This 433-nucleotide ribosomal RNA is filed under the name uncultured bacterium. RNAcentral describes it as "partial 16S ribosomal RNA". It matches the Rfam family "Bacterial small subunit ribosomal RNA", at positions 29 to 507 of the family's 1533-position model. The record is from RNAcentral.